GUCUGAUAAUUGUACAUGUGCAUAUCAAAUAUUUAAUAAACAUAAUUUUAUGUACAUAUGCAUUAGAAAACUAUAACAUAGUUAAGGUUCUUGGCAAAUACAAAAAUGGAUAUUAUAAACAGUAAUUUGAUUGCACUAUUUCACUCUUAGCUCAUCGCAGCUUUAAAAAUAUAUCAUAAAUAAUAAACUAUUGGUUCAGUAAAAGAUAAUAUACUCAACAAUGUUUUCAGGAAAAAAUAUUUUUUAUUUUAAAGUAUAAAAUUAAAAAUAAGAAUAGGUAGGUAUUUAACCCAUUUGAAGAAGUACACAAGUUAAAAUAGUGUGAUAUUUAAUUUGUUUUCCAGUAAUAUAAUAUUACCUAAGUAUGCUUAAAAUAUUUGAAGUUAUAAAUAUUAAAAAAAAAAAAACAUAAUAAUAACCUUAUAAUUAUUAUUUGAAUAAAUUAAUACCAUAGUAUUAAAUUUUCCCACUAAUAGUGAUUAUUAGUGUUCUAUAUUUUAUGUGAACACACUUCUAGCGAGAAAUAACAUUAAAAUCUAUAAAACCAGGUUAGGUGGAGUGGAUCAAGUCAGACUAUAAUUUUAAAAUCUAACUAUGAUUAGUUUUUUAGAUUAAAACUUCUGUUAUAUUUUAACAGUUCUUUGUUAACUAACUAAAAGUAUUAUAGGUAAUUAAAAAACACUAUUAAAAUAAAUCUAGUAAGCAUAACUUUUGUUAUUUGUUUAUUUGAAUUGUUAAAAAUGAGAACUUAUCACAGUAUCACGAAAGUAAAUAAUCAGAUCACUAAAAAUACAUAAAUGUAUAAUAAUAUUAGAUGGGCAACUGCCUAAAACUACAUUUUAUGACCAAUAAUUUGUUUUUUUGAAUCAUAAAAUAACAUCAAAUAACAUCUUAUACUUUUUUAAAAAUUAGGCACAUUUUGCUUCUCAAACUUUUGGAUAGAUAAAUAUCACAUCAUUUAAACUUAAAAAAUAGGUAUUAUAUUUUUACUUAAUCAAAAUUUAAACACUUAAGUAUAAUUAAAUAAUAAUAAAAACCUGCCAAACCAAGCCCUAGUCGCACUUGCCCUAUUGAAAAAUUUGCACUUAUCUCAUAUGACAAUUUCAAAUGGGUAAGUGCAUAUUUGAUUAAAACAAUAAUUCAAAUAAAACUUUGGUUUAAUUCAACUUCAAAGUAAACUAGAAGUAAAAAAAAUAAUGAUUGCCAACAGUUUCAAAGAUUUAGCUUAAAUAGAAAAACUAUUAUUAAUUUAAGUAAAUUAAGGAAAAAACAUAAUAACAGCCUUCUUUCAAAAAUUAAAAAU
Molecule: non-coding RNA, 1303 nt
Organism: Cinara cedri
Lineage: Eukaryota; Metazoa; Arthropoda; Insecta; Hemiptera; Aphididae
Source: the annotation of a GenBank genome assembly